CCUACGGGAGGCAGCAGUGGGGAAUAUUGCACAAUGGGGGAAACCCUGAUGCAGCGACGCCGCGUGAAGGAAGAAGUAUUUCGGUAUGUAAACUUCUAUCAGCAGUGAAUUGACGGUACCUGCAAAGGAAGCACCGGCUAACUCCGUGCCAGCAGGCGCGGUAAUACGGAGGGUGCGAGCGUUAAUCGGAAUUACUGGGCGUAAAGCGCUCGUAGGCGGUAUGUUAAGUCAAGGGUGAAAUCCCCGCGGUAAACGUGGGAACUGCCUUUGAUACUGGCAAACUGGAGUGUGUGAGAGGAUAGUGGAAUUCCAGGUGUAGGGGUGAAAUGCGUAGAUAUCUGGAGGAACAUCAGUGGCGAAGGCGGCUAUCUGGCACAUAACUGACGCUGAGGAGCGAAAGCGUGGGUAGCAAACAGGAUUAGAUACCCGAGUAGUC
RNAcentral lists this ribosomal RNA (436 nucleotides) under uncultured bacterium. RNAcentral describes it as "partial 16S ribosomal RNA". It matches the Rfam family "Bacterial small subunit ribosomal RNA", at positions 338 to 795 of the family's 1533-position model. The record is from RNAcentral.